AAAGUCGUAACAAGGUUUCCGUAGGUGAACCUGCGGAAGGAUCAUUCAAAAUAAAAGUGUUUUAUGGCACUUUUAAAACAAUCCAUAUCCACCUUGUGUGCAAUGUUUUUUUUAUUAUCAACUCUUUAUUUUAACUUAUUUUGUCUGAAAUAUAUUAUGAAUAACUUAAUUCAAAAAAUAUAACUUUCAACAACGGAUCUCUUGGCUCUC
Molecule: unclassified non-coding RNA, 210 nt
Filed under: Mucoromycotina sp.
Lineage: Eukaryota; Fungi; Mucoromycota
Description: partial contains small subunit ribosomal RNA, internal transcribed spacer 1, and 5.8S ribosomal RNA
Rfam family: Eukaryotic small subunit ribosomal RNA (bases 1-47)
Source: RNAcentral